RNAcentral lists this ribosomal RNA (492 nucleotides) under uncultured bacterium. Its description in RNAcentral is "partial 16S ribosomal RNA". It matches the Rfam family "Bacterial small subunit ribosomal RNA", at positions 29 to 507 of the family's 1533-position model. The record is from RNAcentral.
AGUGAACGCUGGCGGUAUGCCUAACACAUGCAAGUCGAACGGCAGCACAGUAAGAGCUUGCUCUUACGGGUGGCGAGUGGCGGACGGGUGAGGAAUACAUCGGAAUCUACUUUUUCGUGGGGGAUAACGUAGGGAAACGUACGCUAAUACCGCAUACGACCUACGGGUGAAAGCAGGGGAUCUUCUGACCUUGCGCGAUUGAAUGAGCCGAUGUCGGAUUAGCUAGUUGGCGGGGUAAAGGCCCACCAAGGCGACGAUCCGUAGCUGGUCUGAGAGGAUGAUCAGCCACACUGGAACUGAGACACGGUCCAGACUCCUACGGGAGGCAGCAGUGGGGAAUAUUGGACAAUGGGCGCAAGCCUGAUCCAGCCAUACCGCGUGGGUGAAGAAGGCCUUCGGGUUGUAAAGCCCUUUUGUUGGGAGAGAAAAGCAGCAGGUUAAUACCCCGCUGUUCUGACGGUACCCAAAGAAUAAGCACCGGCUAACUUCGUG